Molecule: long non-coding RNA, 645 nt
Organism: Apis dorsata (giant honeybee)
Lineage: Eukaryota; Metazoa; Arthropoda; Insecta; Hymenoptera; Apidae
Exons: 2
Source: RefSeq, a predicted model, not a curated record
GAAAAAUUCGAAACCUUUUUAUAUAAGAUCCGAGACUCGUAUACACACUUGCCACUGUUUAUCUAAAAUUUACCGACACACAAAAGGUAGGUGAACGAGAUGGUGCACGUACAGAACAGAAUCGUUACGUACUUACAUUACAUACAACCACAGAUGGAAGAGGCAGCAACGUCCACGUCACUCGGUAUCGCUUGCCAAUUGGCUGGGUGCUCGAAACGUUUCAUAAUGCGUUCGAACGGAGUUAUAAAACGAGCGAAACUCGAGCCUGCAACCGCUCUACGGCUCUCUUAUCUUUUCUUUUCGAAACGAUGCCAGAUGCACAUGUAUAUACGUGAAUGUUGACACGUUCGGUCAACUCAUCUUUCCUUUCUUUCUUAAUAGAAGAAAUCAACAAAAAUUAAAAAGGAUUUGAAAGACGAAUAUAGAUGAUAAUUUAAAAAUGGUCAAGAAGAAGAAGAAGAAGAAGAUAGAGAUUAUUAAAAAAUUAGACAAUUGCUCACAUAAUUGAAUUGACGAUUUUGGAUGUAUUUGAAGUUGUAAAGCUAUAUACUAUUUCUGCGAAAUAGAUAUUAUAAUAUUAAUAGAUACUACUCAUAUCACUAUAAGUUUUUAAUAAUAUGAAUAUAUUUGCAGAAUUCUUGAAAA